Molecule: long non-coding RNA, 1684 nt
Filed under: Sus scrofa (pig)
Lineage: Eukaryota; Metazoa; Chordata; Mammalia; Artiodactyla; Suidae
Description: lncRNA (ENSSSCG00065054888.1)
Source: RNAcentral
AAAACAAAGGAAACUCCAAAAAGAGUUUUGUAUUUAGUUAAUAGGUUCCUACUGAGUGGAAAAUUAAAGUCCCCAACUUGCAAUGUGAUUUAAGGUUGUAACUAUGUGUAAGGAGGAAUAGGAAUGUAAACCCAGCAUUAUUUAUGCUCAAAGUUGACUAGUCCAGGUACUGCUGUUGAAUAGUGUCCAGCAGGGUUCUUAAAUGCAAAGUGUGUCCUAAGGAUAAGAAACAGUAGUUCAGCCUGGCUGAAUCCAUGCUAUAUUCACUUCAAUAGACUCUUAAACUGAUACUGAACAUAUAUGUGGAUAUUUACACAUAUGAUGCCUAAGUAAGUUACCAAAAAUAUUUGUAUACUCCAUCUCCUUCUCCCUAGGGAAAAACGUUUCUUCCAAGUAAAUACAACCAAUUUAUUUGUCUUGGUUCCCCUGGAUCUUCUUUUUUAAUCAUCUUUGUAUUAAAGCAUUCUUUGCCAUUUUUCAUUAUUCUCUUUUCCAUAUCUGUCUGGACUGGGACAGUCAUUUCUUCAUAUCACAGCUUUUAUGCUAUUGAAAUACAAAAUUCUUAGUGGCUCUGCUUGCAGUUUUGCAAAAUUCAAAUAGCAGGCACAAGGCUCAUCAGUAUUUAUGUUGCUUCCUGUGUUGUGACUGAGUUUAUCUACCAACUGUGAUACUCACAAGAAGGAAGGUCCCAUCAAUGUCCUUAGAAUUAAACUCAUUGGAAUCCACAUAGGUAUUUGAGUUUUCUGUCCAUUAAACUGUUAGGCAAAAGCCAGGACUAGGAGAGAAGCUCGAGAAUCAGGCAAGCGGUGGAUUUCUAGCCCUUCCUCUCUGUCCUCUAAUUAACCUUCCUUUUAGGUGCACCCCCUCCUUACCAUUCCCUCCAGUGUGCUAAUUCAGCUCUUUUCUAUGAACCACUUUCUCAUUCCACCUCGGAGGUAACACUGAUGGACCCAGCAGUGAAGGAGGCCACUGCCAAUGCUUUGAGAAGAUCAGGAAGAGAAAUUAGGUCUGAAUGACAGGUAAAUCAUUUUAAAUAACUGGAAUAAUAGAGCAAAGCCAGAAUGGAUGUGGCCAUGGUCCUGGAGCUGACCCUGCCACUCACUAGAUCUCCAGUGGAGAAGCUUAAGAGUGUUUUAGGUCAUGAAGCAGACCUGUCUGGGCAGCAUGGAAACAACUAGAGUGCAGCUAUUUACUAACUGAUAUAAAUAUGAUUUCAUAAUAACUUACUAACUGCUAUGAAUGUUAGUCAUGGGGCCAAAAAUGGAGCAAGAUUGAGGUCCCUGUGAUGGGAACUGCUAGUCAAAUAUGGACAUUGAGCAUAUUUGCUUUUUUCAACCUUUUGUUACUCAUAUAUAUGUCCACAUCAGGAUUUUCCUGGUGAAACUAAAAAUCUCCCAAGCAUUGAAUUUCACUAUAAACAAUAAAAUGAAGGUUAUGAAGAUGCCAGAGUUUUAGAAAUUUUGAAGUGCCUAGCACUUUAAAUUUGAUUAUUGGUCACAUGCAUUCUUGGCUUUUGUAGUCACUGUAUUUAUUAUUUAAGAUAACCUAAUAAUUACAAAAAUGGAUUGUAAUAAAUAGUUUAUUCCAUGAAAAAUAUAUUUUAUUUGCAUAAAAUUAAAUUUUCAUCAAAUGAAUCCCACAACUCUUCUUUGUGUGUAAUGUUUUCUAAAGAGCAGAUGGACCC